Non-coding RNA from Actinomortierella wolfii, 73 nucleotides. NCBI's taxonomy places the organism in Eukaryota, Fungi, Mortierellomycota, Mortierellomycetes, Mortierellales, Mortierellaceae. The record is from the annotation of a GenBank genome assembly.
GGCGCCAUAGUCUAGUGGAUACGACAUCGGUCUCCGGAACCGAAGGUCGCGGGUUCGAAUCCCGCUGGCGUCG